GAUGAAGAACGUAGCGAAAUGCGAUAAGUAAUGUGAAUUGCAGAAUUCAGUGAAUCAUCGAAUCUUUGAACGCACAUUGCGCCCGCCAGUAUUCUGGCGGGCAUGCCUGUUCGAGCGUCAUUUCAACCCUCAAGCCCCCGGGCUUGGUGUUGGGGAUCGGCGUGCCCUCGCGGCGCGCCGUCCCCUAAAUCUAGUGGCGGUCUCGCUGUAGCUUCCUCUGCGUAGUAGCAACACUCGCACUGGAUCGCAGCGCGGCCACGCCGUUAAACCCCCCACUUCUGAAAGUUUGACCUCGGAUCAGGUAGGAAUACCCGCUGAACUUAAGCAUAUCAUAAGCGGAGGA
This 343-nucleotide unclassified non-coding RNA is filed under the name soil metagenome. RNAcentral's name for it is "partial contains 5.8S ribosomal RNA, internal transcribed spacer 2, and large subunit ribosomal RNA". The stretch from base 1 to 120 matches the Rfam family "5.8S ribosomal RNA", at positions 35 to 154 of the family's 154-position model. The record is from RNAcentral.